UGGUCUAGGUAUGGCGGCCAGCUCAUUGAAGGGAUGAGCCCGAAAUAAAUGAUGUUUCGAGACCGAUCCAGAUAGCCGGCCCUCCCUCCUUCUGUUACCUUCUUCCUCGCGUGCGGCUGCCGGAAAGAUUCUCCAAGGGCGCCACCAUGAAGAGACGAUUUGUGGAGGCAUGGAUUUUCCGUUGGAUCAGGUCAGCAGUACGACUAUCUAUGCGCCGUAUCCAGCUGAGGCAGCAAUGCUGAGUUUGCAAGGAGAGGACUCGGUAAGCAGCGACGCUUGUCCGGCGGCGGCGGGUGUGUCGAUGCUUGGGAACCUUGUGAGUUGUGACCGGGACUGGUAUGUACGAUGGAGCUGACGGCAUGGCUGGCCUGGGGGAGCUGGUACCCGCUGAUUCCGCGGAAUCUACUGGGCACGACUAUCCACAAUCGCCCGGAUGGAGGAAGAGAAUCUGUGUCGGCCGUGCACCUCCAUAUAGAACUUAUUGUGCGGACCGGCAAAGCGCACUGGAGAAAUCGGUCCGGUGUUACACAGAGAUAUUGGGAGACGAAGUCAUUGACACCUGCCUUGGUACAACUUUUGACUCGCUAAGUGAGGCAUACGAUUUCUGUAAUCUGUAUUCCUGGGAACAUGGGUCUGGGAUCAGAUAUGGAAAGAGACGGUUAAAUUCAGAGAACACGAAAUGCAUGCAAGAAAUCGCCUGCGGGUACUCGGGGAAGCCCACAUCUGAAAAUACAACAUCUUGUCGCCGUGAAUGCACUGCGAUGAUCCAGAUGUUGUGCGUUGACUGAGACAUGCGGUGAGACAGCAUUCUAGCCGUCACGCAGGCACGUAGAUAUGUUCACUAAAGACUUGGCAAAACAGCUUAGGGAUAACAAGAUAGAUAUGUUCACCAAGGACUUGGUAAAACAUGUAAUGGUUGGUACAUUACAUGGGUUGUCACAUUUUGAAAAAAACAUAGGUUGUCAGCAUUAUUGGACUCUUCUUUGGAAGUGUUGACAGCCGCCCUUUCGCAAAGUGGUCUCUGCGGAAUUUGUGUGGACAGAUUAGCCGAAUUUGUGUGGACAGAUUAACCAAGAAGAAGCCGACGAUGAUGUAAGAAAAACAAUUGAAGUUUUUUAUCAGGUAGGUGCGAAGGACCCAGAUUUCUUGUUUAGAGUCCAGGCUGAUUCAGAUACCACGAUCAGGAACCUCAUGUGGACAAUAGGAGCAGGCCGGCUGCAGUAUAAAUAUUUUGGUGAUGUAAAAGCCUUUGACAUGACAUACAAAACAAACUUGUAUGACAUGCCAUCUGGUCUAUUCGUGGGGGUUAAUAACCACAUUCACAGCGUAAUUUUAGCUGGGUUCAUGGUCCGGGAUGUCAAGUAGAGAGCUCCGAGUGUGUGUUUACAGAAUUCGUGCGCAUGAUCGGAGGUGUUCAUCCUCAAACCACACUCACAGAUCAAUGUCGAGCAAUGGAGGUCGCGAUAAAGAAAGUUUUGCCGAACAUAACCCACCGUUGUUGUAAAUGGCAUGUAUUGAAGAAGGCGAAGGAGUCCCUAGGCCCAUUGUUCACGAGAUGUCAUAUGUUUUGAGCAGAGUUCCACAAAGUUGUAAAUCACAUGUUGACGUCGAUGAGUUUGAGGAGGCAUGGGAUUUACUUCUGGACAAGUAUUGGCUGAGGGCACAUGGUUAUAUGACGCACUUAUAUAAGAUCAGAGAGAAAUGGGCUAAGCCUUAUUUUAAGGGAUUUUUUGUGCAAAAAUGUCAAGCUCACAAAGAAGUGAGAGUGCAAACAGUACAUGAGAUUGCUGUAUGACAAUACAUGAGGUUGUUGUAUGAUCAGGAAGUAGAUGAGAGCUACGAAGAGAAGUGAACCAAAGUUGUAAGUAUCUUUUUAUUUGUGCAAUUGACUGAACUAGUGAUGCAUAGGAUGUAGCGAGAUGUUAUAACUUUUCUGGUCAGAACGGGGUUGUUGUCGAUAUAAUUUUACAAUUGAAAGACAUGCUAGUAAGAUAUACACGAGAGCAAUGUUUGAGAAAUUUGGGAAGAUGAUCUUCCAAGCAUGUGCAUACAAGGUAGAGGAGGUAAGAGAAAAACAAGCUUUACAUGACCACACACACAGGCGCCUCGCGGCGGGAGAAGUGGAGCACAGUUGUCUUUGAUGUGAAGAUGCUAGUUGAUGGGGAGGAGUUCGAAUGCGAGUGCGGAAUGUUUGCACACAUGGGAAUGCACACAAUUGUGGGCAUGCAUUGAAGGUGAUGGACUAUGUUGGAGUAAGGGAGAUACCUAAUAAACAUAUUCUGAGAUGGACAAGGGAUGCCAGGGAUGUGCUUCCGGAGAAUCUGCGGCACUACCAGCUUGACCAGGCUGCAGGGCUGUUCAAGGAAAACCUUGCUGUGAUGGCUCCAUUUGAGGAAACCAGGGAUGACCUUGGCUCGUAGGACAGACCGGCCAGUGGUGCUAAAGAUGGUGACGAAAGAAUGAUGACUGCUCAGGGGAGAACGGUGGGUCACUCUCUGGGCAUGCCAUGGCUGGAUUAAUAGCUCCAAGUAAGAAACAAAAGACAGGGAGGCCAACUUCUAGCCGUGACAGAGCUCCUUACGGGGGUUGUAGCAAGAUAACUAGAUUUUGCGGCAUCUGCAAGCGCCCUGGGUACAAGCGAACAACUUGCACAGACAGGGGUGAUGAGCCUAAGCAACCAAGGAAGUCAGGAAGGUGCAGUGUUUGUGGUGUAGGCCGUGUAGCUGGCCAUCGUAAGAGCAGCUGCGUAAAACCACUCCAGGUGUGACAAAAAGACGCAUGUUUAGCUGCAUGAUUAUGUAUAACUCGUAUAGUGUGUAGCAUUCCAUGGACUGUAAUUCUGAAGAAUUAUAAAUUAUCCAGUGUGUGAAUUGUCUAGGCAUUUGUCAAUGUGCCACACCAACAAGAAGCAGAGAAAUAUACUUCGAAUGUGAAA
Molecule: long non-coding RNA, 2935 nt
Organism: Lolium perenne
Lineage: Eukaryota; Viridiplantae; Streptophyta; Magnoliopsida; Poales; Poaceae
Source: RefSeq, a predicted model, not a curated record